Molecule: transfer RNA, 65 nt
Filed under: Actinomycetota bacterium
Lineage: Bacteria; Bacillati; Actinomycetota
Description: tRNA-Ala
Rfam family: tRNA
About the family: Transfer RNA (tRNA) molecules are approximately 80 nucleotides in length. Their secondary structure includes four short double-helical elements and three loops (D, anti-codon, and T loops). Further hydrogen bonds mediate the characteristic L-shaped molecular structure. tRNAs have two regions of fundamental functional importance: the anti-codon, which is responsible for specific mRNA codon recognition, and the 3' end, to which the tRNAs corresponding amino acid is attached (by aminoacyl-tRNA synthetases). tRNAs cope with the degeneracy of the genetic code in two manners: having more than one tRNA (with a specific anti-codon) for a particular amino acid; and 'wobble' base-pairing, i.e. permitting non-standard base-pairing at the 3rd anti-codon position.
Source: RNAcentral
GAGCUGAACCCAAGACGACUUCGUUCGCAUCGAGGGGGUCAGGGGUUCGAAUCCCCUCAGCUCCA